AACCAUAGAAACCUGCGGAGUACCUGCGGAGGGAUCAUUACCGAGUGAGGGCCCUCCGGGUCCAACCUCCCACCCGUGUUUAACGAACCUUGUUGCUUCGGCGGGCCCGCCUCACGGCCGCCGGGGGGCACCCCGCCCCCGGGCCCGCGCCCGCCGAAGACACCUGUGAACGCUGUCUGAAGUUGCAGUCUGAGACACUAGCUCAAUCAGUUAAAACUUUCAGCAAUGGAUCUCAGAUCG
This 240-nucleotide unclassified non-coding RNA is filed under the name soil metagenome. Its description in RNAcentral is "partial contains 5.8S ribosomal RNA, internal transcribed spacer 2, and large subunit ribosomal RNA". The record is from RNAcentral.